AUUUUCCUUUGUUUGCAGACGUCGUUAUGUCGCUCUUACAAUUUUUCUUAUUUUUUGGUAGAAAAAGUGAUUUUUCUGUACACUAUUUGAGUAUAUUCUGUUCCUUAAGGCCUGUUUAAUCUUCUAAAAAUAAGCGUUACCUAUUCAUAAUACACACCAGCACAUAAAGACCACCUAAAAGAAGAGACUUGGAUCACCUCUUGCCUUUUGUAUAAUCCUGAUUCUCCCAAUGUUUUGCCAUCGUUCUGUUUUACGAGUUGGUCUUUCAUUAUCUCUUUAAAAAUUUUCUACAACAAAUCGAUGAAUGUAUACAGUUCCAGGGCAGUACAUUUAUCCUUUUCAUGAAUGUUACCAACAAUGCAUCAGGACUUAUAAGUAUAUCUAAAAUUUUAUUUCUUUUGGGUAAAUAAAUAUAUAUUUUUACUGGUUUUUAAUGUUCAUCAGUAGAUUUCAUAAUUUUGAAAUUUAAUUAAGAAAAAUUUUUAACGGUUUUCUGAGUUAUAUUCUUGUCUGUAUAAUCAAGGGUUAUAUUUUUUAUGGUUCCUCAUUAUCAUCUCUAUUAUAGCUUCACUCCCUCGUUUUCUUGAUUAUGGAAAUAAUUUUAUUUAUCAUUUUUAUAAAAUAUUUGAUCCAUUACCUGUAUUUCUAUAGGUUUUGUUUGGUACAAUAUUCCAUCUACUUAGAAUUUGACUUCAUUUUGUUUAUGGUUAACGGUCAUUUUUCUAUAACAGCUCGACUCUCAUAUUUUCUUCAUUGUGGGAAACAUAUCAUUCAUCAAUUCUAUAAAAUCUUCCAUUGAUUGUAGGUAUUUCAAUAAGUCUUUUUUUAUUUGUAUUAUUUUUCUUAUGGUGUCAUUUUUCUAAUACUUUUUUUGCUUGUGUAAUUCCUUGUACAGAUUUUCAGUUUUAAUGGAUUCAUUUCCAUGUCAUUUUCCUCAAAUCAUAUGCCAUGAAUCUCUGUAAUUUUACGGAUUUUAUUUGUUUAUUUUGUAUGUGUUUAAAUAUAAUUUAAACACCAUAACACACUUAAAAAUCUCACAAUAAGGACUAAUUUCCGAUCAAUUCCUGGCGCAUUCGCCAUUUAGUAAAAAACUGACGUCCACUUCUGGCUUUUCUAGCAUUUUGCUAAUGCAUUUUCCUGAGUCACAUCGACUCCAGAGCAUCAUAGCUAGCCUUCCCAAAGAGGAGGAGACCCGGGUCACCCCCUAAUCCUGAUGUUCGGCCAUCGAUGACCUAUGUAGCAUGCAUAGGUACCCAAGGGAGUCACCACCCUCUGGUUUACGAGCUAGGUGUUCUAACGCUAGAGGCUUCGGCCGGAUACGACCUGGCACCCAAGCUACGAGACUUCUUCGUGCACGUAUCCCGUGACGUCUCGACAGUAGAGGGGGCGGGAUAUCGGACACAUUGAAGAUGAUGAGGGGGGUCCGCCUGUAGGGGGUCCCGGUGGAUGUCCGCUCGAUGGGUGUCGAGGGUGACCCGAGACGAGGCUGCUUAGCUCGGAUGGGAACUGACUGGUGAGGCUUAAUUGUCGGCCAAGGGUUAAAUCUGAUGAAGGGGGGCGAAUCUAUAUGCUCUGGAGGAUUUUUUUAUAUGUGCUUUAUGUCAUAUAUUGACCAGAUAUUUCUGAGAGGAGGCUAAGCGUAGCUUUUUAUCAAUUCCCCAUUUCUUAUUGACCACAUAUUUCUUUACUUUUUUCUCUGGCUUUUGGCCUACCUCUGUUAUAAAAUUUUUGCCUCUCAUAUUUUCUUUAUUAAUGCAAUAUCAUUCAUUCUUCUUAGACACAUAUUUCAUCAAUUCUAUUGUCUGUUUAGCAUUAUAGCUUUUUAUUUAUUUUCAUGCCAUUUUUUUCCAAUUCAACCUCCAUGUUUAUGCCAUUUUAUCCAAUUCAUCAUAUCCCUAUUUAAUUUUUUCACUCAUAUUUUCUUUAUUAUUGGAGUAUCAUUCAUUAAUUCUGUAUAAUACUCUUCCAAUAAUUGUCUUAUAUAUUAGUAGAUUUUUUGUGAUUUGUUCAUUUUUAUGCCAUUUGACUCAAUAUAUCCACCAUUUAUUUUUUUCAGUGCAUCAUAUAUUAUCUAUUUCACUAUUUGUCUCAUAUAUUCUUCUUAUGGGAAUACCAUCAUUCAAUUCUAUGCACUCUUUUAUUGGUUGCAUUUCUAAGUCUUCUUAUAUGUAUAAUUUUUUGUGUCAUUCUUCUGAGACUUCUCUAAGUUAUGCAUUUUUUUAUUUCCCCAUACCUCUAUUUCUUUAUUUUUCUCUCACAUUAUCUUCAAUCUAUGAACUAUAUAAUUUCUAUGUACUCCUCAUUUUGUUUCUAAAUCCAUUUAAAAUUAAGUUUUUGUAUGGGAUAUUGUACUGCUUUGGAACAAGGUUUUUUUGGGACAGCUGCACCUCAACAACCCCCUUCAAGAUGCCAUUAGGUGGAUUAAAAUCAACAUUCAACAGUGGAUUGAAAAGAAAAUUCAUCAUUCAAGAGGAAAUUAAAUAAUUUUAGAACGAAGACUUUCCAGAAGGGUAGCCAGAAGAUUUAUUUACCUCAACAUAGACAUCCACAUGUUCAUCAGCACCUUGG
This 2568-nucleotide long non-coding RNA is filed under the name Sitophilus oryzae (rice weevil). Its description in RNAcentral is "uncharacterized LOC115891842". Lineage: Eukaryota; Metazoa; Arthropoda; Insecta; Coleoptera; Curculionidae. The record is from RNAcentral.